UCUGAGAGGAGUCAAGACACUUUUGUCAGGCUGCUAGAACCUCCGGGAAAGGGAGAAGGCAAAGAUGUGUGCUAUAUAAAACAGAAAGUGGAUCAUUAGUGUCCAUGGAUCUAGUAAUCACAGAUUUGAGUAUUUGAUAGUAACCUUUAGGGAUAGAGAUAGAGAAUAGCAAUAGAUUUAACUUUCCUGAACCAGAAAUACGAAUUGUUUGUUCUGCAAGAUAAAUCAGCACUUUCACUGGACUGAUUGGACUGAGAAGGCAAGGCUGAGUGAGUUUGACCACACUCAGAGCCUAAAUCCCAUCCAAAGGAAGAAAUGGCAAUAAAAAAGUAGAUGGAAAAAGAGAUCCAUGGAAGAAAUUUCUCUCUGAUCUUGAUACGAAUAGAACAGGAGGAUAGCAGUGAUUCCCAGGGGCUGAAAACACAGGCCUCAGGUAAAUUGGAUCCUGGACAAGUUAUUUAACUAUUCUCAGACUCAAUUUUGUCUUCUUAA
Molecule: long non-coding RNA, 492 nt
Filed under: Vulpes vulpes (red fox)
Lineage: Eukaryota; Metazoa; Chordata; Mammalia; Carnivora; Canidae
Description: lncRNA (ENSVVUG00000016886.1)
Source: RNAcentral